GACGAACGCUGGCGGCGUGCUUAACACAUGCAAGACGAACGGUGAAGGGACCAGCUUGCUGGUUCUGGAUGAGUGGCGAACGGGUGAGUAACACGUGAGUAAUCUGCCCCCUUCUUCUGGAUAACUGCAUGAAAGUGUGGCUAAUACGGGAUAUUCUGGGUCUGUCGCAUGGCGGGCCCGGGAAAGAUAUUGCUUCGGUGGGGGAUGGGCUCGCGGCCUAUCAGCUUGUUGGUGGGGUGAUGGCCUACCAAGGCGGUGACGGGUAGCCGGCCUGAGAGGGUGGACGGUCACACUGGGACUGAGACACGGCCCAGACUCCUACGGGAGGCAGCAGUGGGGAAUAUUGCACAAUGGGCGCAAGCCUGAUGCAGCGACGCCGCGUGAGGGAUGGAGGCCUUCGGGUUGUAAACCUCUUUCGCCAGUGAAGCAGGCCUGCUCCUUGUGGGUGGGUUGACGGUAGCUGGAUAAGAAGCGCCGGCUAACUACGUG
RNAcentral lists this ribosomal RNA (489 nucleotides) under uncultured bacterium. RNAcentral describes it as "partial 16S ribosomal RNA". It matches the Rfam family "Bacterial small subunit ribosomal RNA", at positions 28 to 507 of the family's 1533-position model. The record is from RNAcentral.